Molecule: ribosomal RNA, 406 nt
Filed under: uncultured Rhodococcus sp.
Lineage: Bacteria; Bacillati; Actinomycetota; Actinomycetes; Mycobacteriales; Nocardiaceae
Description: bacterial SSU rRNA
Rfam family: Bacterial small subunit ribosomal RNA
Source: RNAcentral
GGGUUUGACAUACACCGGAAAACCGUAGAGAUACGGUCCCCCUUGGUGGUCGGUGUACAGGUGGUGCAUGGCUGUCGUCAGCUCGUGUCGUGAGAUGUUGGGUUAAGUCCCGCAACGAGCGCAACCCUUGUCUUAUGUUGCCAGCACGUGAUGGUGGGGACUCGUAAGAGACUGCCGGGGUCAACUCGGAGGAAGGUGGGGACGACGUCAAGUCAUCAUGCCCCUUAUGUCCAGGGCUUCACACAUGCUACAAUGGCCAGUACAGAGGGCUGCGAGACCGUGAGGUGGAGCGAAUCCCUUAAAGCUGGUCUCAGUUCGGAUCGGGGUCUGCAACUCGACCCCGUGAAGUCGGAGUCGCUAGUAAUCGCAGAUCAGCAACGCUGCGGUGAAUACGUUCCCGGGCCUU